GGGUCGAUGGCGUAGUUGGUUAUCGCAUCUGUCUCACAUAAUCCUUAUGGAACAUGUCCACAGGAGGUCCUCAGUUCGAACCUGGGUCGACUCA
Non-coding RNA from Termitomyces sp. T32_za158, 94 nucleotides. The record is from the annotation of a GenBank genome assembly. NCBI's taxonomy places the organism in Eukaryota, Fungi, Basidiomycota, Agaricomycetes, Agaricales, Lyophyllaceae.